Molecule: long non-coding RNA, 495 nt
Organism: Pieris brassicae (large cabbage white)
Lineage: Eukaryota; Metazoa; Arthropoda; Insecta; Lepidoptera; Pieridae
Exons: 2
Source: RefSeq, a predicted model, not a curated record
AAUAUAUUGUUAACUCGCUUCAAUAUUCUAUUUUUAUCUUUAAUGUUAAAGAACGAUGUUAGUCUGGUUAAUAAGGAUAUGCUUUUUAUCCGUGUAACCACUGUUAGAAAAUAAAUUAGACAAGAGCGCAAGAAGUGCAAAACUACAUAAAACAUAGAAUUAAUGGAAGACUUUUAGACAAAACUAAUGGAAUAAAGCAACGCAAUUAAAACAGAUGUAAACAGUGAAAGAGGCAAUAUAUUAAACACACAUGAAAAAGAAAAGGGUAUAUUCAUCACGAGUUUCAGUUUCGGUUUAUGACCAAUAGAGGAUUAUAUCACUGAACGUAAAUAAAAAUUAUAAAUUAUCGUGACUAGUAGAGUACUGUAGCUGUUUCUUUUAUUCACAUAGUAAACAUAAUUUGACAGAAAGAGCAUAUGGAGUACUUUAGCUAAAUGGGUACAACUAACUUGAUGUAUUUCUAUAAAUAUCGAAUAUAAUAUAAUAUUGAACGUA